AGACGGAGGGUGCAAACGUUGUUCGGAAUCACUGGGCAUAAAGCGCGCGUAGGCGGUCCAUUAAGUCAGGCGUGAAAUCCCCCGGCUCAACCGGGGAACUGCGCCUGAUACUGGUGGGCUCGAGGACGGUAGGGGUGAGCGGAACUCCAGGUGGAGCGGUGAAAUGCGUAGAUAUCUGGAGGAACACCUGUGGCGAAAGCGGCUCACUGGACCGUCUCUGACGCUGAGGUGCGAAAGCUAGGGUAGCGAACGGGAUUAGAUACCCCAGUAGUCC
RNAcentral lists this ribosomal RNA (274 nucleotides) under uncultured bacterium. RNAcentral's name for it is "partial 16S ribosomal RNA". It matches the Rfam family "Bacterial small subunit ribosomal RNA", at positions 523 to 796 of the family's 1533-position model. The record is from RNAcentral.